UUUGAAAGAAAAUAGUUAUUAAAAUUUUAAAUUAAUAGGGUUUUAAAUAAAGUAAUUUUUUUUUAUUAAUUUGUAUGAAUAAAUAAAUAUAAUUAUAGAUUAUUAGUAUUGUGAGAGAAUUUAAAAUUUUAUGAAUAAGAAAAAUUUAUUUUUUGUACCUUGUGUCUCAGGGUUUAUUAAAUAAGAAUUUUCAAUAAAAAUUUUCUCGAAUUUAAAAGAGCUAUAAUAGUAUAAUUUUUAUUGUAGAAUAAAUAUUGUAAAUAUUAUUAUAGAAGUGAAAUGCUAUUCGAUUUUAAAUAUAUCUAGUUUUUUAAGAAAAAAAUUUAAUUUGGUUUUUAAAUUAUAAAUAAAUUUUAUGGAUAAUUUAUUUAUUUUAAGAUCUUAUAUUUUAAGGGAUGAGCUUUAAAAUAUAAAUAUAUAAUAUAUAUAGAAAUUUAUUUAAUAAAUAGGAUUAUAAGUUUCCAUUUUUAGUAGUGUUUUAAAAUUAAUUAAAAUAAGUAUUAAGAUUUUUAUUUAGAUUUAUAUUUUUUAUUAAAAUUUAAGUAUAAAUAAUUUUUAUUUAGUAAUAAUGAUAAAAUUAGUAUAAUUUUAUAUAUAUAAAUAUAAUAUAAUUUAAAGAUUAAAUAAAGGAACUCGGCAAAUCUAUUUUUCACCUGUUUAUUAAAAACAUGGCCUUUUGAAUAUAAUUUAAGGUCUAACCUGCCCAAUGAGUAUUUAAAUGGCUGCGGUAUUUUGACCGUACAAAGGUAGCAUAAUCAUUAGUUUUUUAAUUGAAAGCUUGUAUGAAAGGUUGAAUGAAAAAAUAACUGUCUCUAUUUAAAAUUAAUAGAAUUUUAUUUUUAAGUGAAAAAGCUUAAAUUUUUAUGGAAGACGAGAAGACCCUAUAGAGUUUUAUAAUUAUUUAUUUUUAAAGUUUUUAGUAUUAUAAAAUUUAUAAUAAAAAUUAUUUAGUUGGGGUGAUUGAAAAAUUAAAUGAACUUUUUUUGUAUUUAAUCAUUUAUAAAUGAAUUUUUGAUCCUUUAUUUAAGAUUAAAAGAUAAAAUUACCUUAGGGAUAACAGCGUAAUUUUUUUUAAGAGUUCUAAUCGAAAAAAAAGAUUGCGACCUCGAUGUUGGAUUAAAAUGAAUAUUUGGUGUAGCAGCUGAAAAUAUUAGGUCUGUUCGACCUUUAAAAUUUUACAUGAUCUGAGUUUAGACCGGCGUGAGCCAGGUUGGUUUCUAUCUCCAUAAAGAUAAAAUAUUUUAGUACGAAAGGACCAAGUAUUUAUUUUAAAAAUUUAAUUAUGAAUAAUAUU
RNAcentral lists this ribosomal RNA (1294 nucleotides) under Ceratopus sp. CG351. RNAcentral's name for it is "16S ribosomal RNA". The stretch from base 1053 to 1212 matches the Rfam family "Archaeal large subunit ribosomal RNA", at positions 2542 to 2701 of the family's 2987-position model. Lineage: Eukaryota; Metazoa; Arthropoda; Insecta; Coleoptera; Curculionidae. The record is from RNAcentral.